This 1449-nucleotide unclassified non-coding RNA is filed under the name Hevea brasiliensis (rubber tree). Lineage: Eukaryota; Viridiplantae; Streptophyta; Magnoliopsida; Malpighiales; Euphorbiaceae. The record is from RNAcentral.
GAUAGUGCACUAUUGCGGAGGCAUCCUGAACCUAAUAUGCGGAAGCUUAGAGAGUUUGAAGCUUUUUGUUGCAAGCAUGGGCUAGAAAUGGACACUUCUUCUGGUCACUUCCAUCAGUCGUUGGAGCACAUCAGAGAAAAGCUGAAGGAUGACAGUGUGUUGUUCGAUAUUGUGAUGUCUUAUGCUUCAAGACCAAUGCAGUUGGCAACCUACUUUUGCAGUGGUGUUAUGAAAGAUAAUAUCAAUGAUUGGGGUCAUUAUGCACUGGCUAUUCCUUUCUACACACAUUUUACUUCACCCUUGCGUCGAUAUCCAGAUAUAGUUGUACAUCGGACAUUGGCUGCAGCUAUUGAAGCAGAGGAAUUGUAUACAAGAAGUAGAAAAAUAUCACAUAAAGUGAGAUUGGGAGAGGAACUGACAAGAUUUUUCACUGGUAUUUACUUUGAUAAAGAUGCAGCAGAAUCCUCAGAAGGCAGGGAAGCAUUAUCAGCUGCAGCAAUCAAACAUAGAGUUCCCUGCACUGAAUUACUUGCGGGUGUUGCUGCUUACAGUAAUGAUAGAAAGCUGGCUAGUAGGCAUGUUAAAGAUGCCUGUGAUAAGCUAUGCAUGUGGGUUUUGCUGAAGAAGAAAGAGUUUUUAUUGUCAGAUGCUAGAGUUUUGGGUCUGGGGCCCAGGUUUAUGACCAUUUAUAUCCAAAAACUAGCUAUCGAACGAAGGAUAUAUUAUGAGGAAGUUGAAGGCUUGACAGUGGAAUGGCUUGAGGCUACAUCAACAUUGGUGCUAAAUUUGUGUGCCUACAAACGCAAAUUUAAAAGGGCUAGCCCUGGUAAUUACAGAGCACUUAAUGAGGUUGCAUGGGUCAUAAGUCCAUGUAACCUGAAUGCGGAAGCUGGCACAGUUGGAAGGUUUGCGAAUGAGUGCAAUGUUACACCUUCAGGCAAGAAUGGUUUGGCAUCCCGGCAUGUAGAUCCUGUUUCAGAGUCUGAGAUUGAGCCUGUUGUUUUCCCCCUCACUGUCCGUCUCCUUUCAACAAUUCCUGUUGCACUUCAUGCGGUUGGCGGGGAUGAUGGACCCAUUGAUAUUGGGGUGAGGCUAUAUGUGAGCUCAUAUUUUAGCUAAAUCAUGACACGUGAGCUUACAUUCGGAACCGUGAGUCCUAAGUUCUGCAAGUGAAUGAGCUCAUGGAGAUGAAGCCUAACAGAGCUGGUAAAGGUCUGUUGUAGAUAAGGAUUUAGUGCAUAGUAGAAAUAGUCAGAUAAAGAAAAUCUGUGGUUUGGAAUCGCGGAUAUUUUCCCAAGUCUGGAAGGUGUAGAUGUUGACGGGCCUUGUAGUUUUGGUGGCUGUUUUUAACGAAAGCUGCUGAAUGGAGUUGGCCCUUGUUUUUUUAAGGCCGGUUCCAUAGAUUAUAAAAAAAUUGGGCAGGGUUCGGAGCGAAUUUUUAUGAUUAUU